Molecule: transfer RNA, 76 nt
Filed under: Clostridium perfringens
Lineage: Bacteria; Bacillati; Bacillota; Clostridia; Eubacteriales; Clostridiaceae
Description: tRNA-Val
Rfam family: tRNA
About the family: Transfer RNA (tRNA) molecules are approximately 80 nucleotides in length. Their secondary structure includes four short double-helical elements and three loops (D, anti-codon, and T loops).
Source: RNAcentral
GGUCGCAUAGCUCAGCUGGGAGAGCACCUGCCUUACAAGCAGGGGGUCACAGGUUCGAUUCCUGUUGCGACCACCA